Heterocephalus glaber (naked mole-rat) is the source of this 1572-nucleotide long non-coding RNA. The record is from Ensembl. NCBI's taxonomy places the organism in Eukaryota, Metazoa, Chordata, Mammalia, Rodentia, Bathyergidae.
CGCUUUUAAAUUGCCCUGGUAAUGUUUCCCGCAGAUUCUGAUCUGUUCCUCCCGCUCCCACAUUUUUUAAACAAAUGUCAUUCAGAAUAGAGGGGUGGAGGUGGUUGUAGUUUUGUUUGCAAACUGAUGUUUGCUGUUAAGACUGCGAUCCAGGCUGCGCCCAUUUUGCAGAUGGAGAUUUGCCAACCCGUGCGGAUGGUUCCCUGUCUGUCCCAGACGUGCUAAUAUUUGUAGCCACUAAUUGAAUCACUACCGCUUUCUAUGACCCAAGAGGUGGGCUAAGACUUUUAUUGUUUUGCAUCAUUUAAAUGUCGGUAAACCCGAUGGAAUAAAGCAAAGCAAACCUGCUCUGCGGAUGAGGACACUGAGGUUCAGAGAUUGCCCAAGGUCUUGCACGGCGAGAGCAGGCCUGAAGAUUCAAACUCAGAUCACUCUGACGCCACAAAGCCGGUGCCCUUGAUCACUACCACCACCUGGCAUUUUCCUGAGAGCUACUGGAGUUCUCCCUGCGGGCUGUGAGCUGGAAUCUGUGAACAGAGAAGGACCUGGGCCAAGGGAUCUCAGAGGCCGGUGAAAACUGACCUGGAGCAGGGCUUGCACCCUGACUUUGCAACGACCAUACGGUCUGUCAGCAUUUCAUCAACCCUCUGUGGGUCAAAAGGAUAGCCCAUCUGACCCACCUCACGAGGUGGUUGUGAAGAUCAAAGGAAAAAUCGCGUGGAAAUACCAAAUAUUUCACUAUUGUAAAGACUCAUUUUAAGACUUUAUAUUCUAGUAACCUACUGUCAUUCGAUAUGCUUCCAUUGUCAGAGAAGAAAUCUGGCCAUACGUCCUCUUAUUCCAUGUCUUCAAAACUAGUACUUACCGUAUUCACAUGUAUUCUUUCUUCAAAUUUUCUACCUACGUACCUUGAAAGGAAAUUUCUGAAAAUCAUUUGUUCUGCAUCUCUCCUCAGUUGCCACCCCCCACAUCUUUUGGGGGUUUUUGUAUCAAGUUUCCACGGACUAUAUUAAGGGAGGAAAAUAAAACAGGAGUGCAAAGGAAAAUUUGACUGUGAGGUCAUCAUACUAUUGUGAUCACUCACUGCUGACAUGCCCAGAUUGAACCAUUUGCCUUACUGCGGAAACAAAUAAGUCACAAACUUAACUCAACUGAAGUAGAGGGACCCUGAAGUUCUUUCGUGUGACUGGGUACGGUGGUGUAUGCCUGUAAUCCCAGCACUUGGGAGACUGAGGCAGGAGGAUUGAUGAGUUCAAUGUCAUCCUGAGCUACAUGGUGAGUCCAAGGCCAGACUGAACUACAUACCAAGACCCUGUCUCAAGAAACCCCCAAAAAAUAUAAACUAAAAAUAAUAUGUUCUAAGUAGACCAACAUGGACAUGGUAACUGAAACCAUGGAAAAUAACACUACAGAUAAGGAGAGACCUAGCAAUUCUUCUUCAAUUUUAAACCUUUAGAGCAGGAAGAGAUGGGAUAAAAAAGAAUUGAGAAGAGUUAUGUACAUGUACCAACUUGCCACAAUAAAUGUAAUCAUCAUGCACUGCAAGUAUGUAGUAAUAAAAUAAAUAAAAAC